Molecule: ribosomal RNA, 275 nt
Filed under: uncultured prokaryote
Description: partial 16S ribosomal RNA
Rfam family: Bacterial small subunit ribosomal RNA
Source: RNAcentral
UACGUAGGGGCUAGCGUUAUCCGGAAUUACUGGGCGUAAAGGGUGCGUAGGCGGUCUUUCAAGCCAGAAGUGAAAGGCUACGGCUCAACCGUAGUAAGCUUUUGGAACUGUAAGACUUGAGUGCAGGAGAGGAGAGUGGAAUUCCUAGUGUAGCGGUGAAAUGCGUAGAGAUUAGGAAGAACACCAGUGGCGAAGGCGAUUCUCUGGACUGUAACUGACGCUGAGGCUCGAAAGCAUGGGGAGCAAACAGGAUUAGAUACCCCCGUAGUCCCUGA